GCGCGUCCCAGAGGGUGAGAGCCCCGUGCGUGGCGCGUCCGGCCGUCCACGAUGUGCUUUCGACGAGUCGGGUUGUUUGGGAAUGCAGCCCAAAAUGGGUGGUAAACUCCAUCUAAAGCUAAAUACUGGCACGAGACCGAUAGCGAACAAGUACCGUGAGGGAAAGAUGAAAAGCACUUUGAAAAGAGAGUUAAACAGUACGUGAAACCGUUAAAAGGGAAACGGAUGGGGUCAGCAAUGCGUUGCUCGAGAUUCAGCCGGCCGGCACGUCGGCCGGGCGGGCAGGCGGAUCCCUGUGGACCGCCGCCGUCCGGGUCGGCGCUCCGACCGUCGCACUUCUCGGCAGCGCGCGCCAGCGUCGGUUGGGACCGGGUCUCAAGGGCGCGAGCAAGGUGGGUCGGCCUCCUCGGGGGCCGGUCGUUAUAGGCUCGCGUCGCAUGGCCCGGACCCGACCGAGGCGUCGCGGCUCGUGCCUCCCUCUCAAGGGGCUGGCUGGGAUCCCCUCGGGCCGGUCGGCGGUCGACUGUGGCGGACUGCGUGCAGUGCGCCGCGACAGCCGUCGGUCGCGUCGGGGGUGAUUUCGCACACACGAGCCAAGGACGCUGGCGGUCAAAUGGCCUCAUUCGACCCGUCUUGAAACACGGACCAAGGAGUCUAACAUGUGCGCGAGUCUUCGAGUGA
Molecule: ribosomal RNA, 681 nt
Filed under: Calliactis parasitica
Lineage: Eukaryota; Metazoa; Cnidaria; Anthozoa; Actiniaria; Hormathiidae
Description: eukaryotic LSU rRNA
Rfam family: Eukaryotic large subunit ribosomal RNA
Source: RNAcentral